UACAGAGGGUGCAAGCGUUAAUCGGAAUUACUGGGCGUAAAGCGUGCGUAGGCGGUUGCGUAAGUCAGAUGUGAAAGCCCCGGGCUCAACCUGGGAAUUGCAUUUGAGACUGCGUAGCUAGGGUGCGGAAGAGGGAAGCGGAAUUUCCGGUGUAGCGGUGAAAUGCGUAGAUAUCGGAGGGAACACCAGUGGCGAAAGCGGCUUCCUGGUCCAGCACCGACGUUCAGGCACGAAAGCGUGGGGAGCAAACAGG
Molecule: ribosomal RNA, 253 nt
Filed under: uncultured bacterium
Lineage: Bacteria
Description: partial 16S ribosomal RNA
Rfam family: Bacterial small subunit ribosomal RNA
Source: RNAcentral